CGGCUAGCCUGGGCAGCCUAUUCCAAUCUCGAGUUUGCCUUCAAAAUGAAACUUAAGGCCGAACAAAAAGCACGCAUAUUUGAUCAAUGUAUCCUGCCUGUUCUCACUUAUGGAGCUGAAACCUGGGUUUUCACCAAAGGCAUAUUACAGAAAACUGGUGGGGAUCACAUUGAGAGACCGUAAAACGAAUGAGUGGCUGAGACAGCAGAG
This is a long non-coding RNA of Cydia amplana, 210 nucleotides long. RefSeq lists it as uncharacterized. Lineage: Eukaryota; Metazoa; Arthropoda; Insecta; Lepidoptera; Tortricidae. The transcript has 2 exons. The record is from RefSeq and is a predicted model, not a curated record.